Molecule: ribosomal RNA, 711 nt
Filed under: Lampyridae sp. UPOL RK0392
Lineage: Eukaryota; Metazoa; Arthropoda; Insecta; Coleoptera; Lampyridae
Description: eukaryotic LSU rRNA
Rfam family: Eukaryotic large subunit ribosomal RNA
Source: RNAcentral
CGUGCGCGCGAGUCAAUGGGCGCAUUAUAUAAACCCAAAGGCGAAGCGAAAGCGAAGGUCGGCCGUGACGCGCUUCGGCGCGUCCGCCGUCCGUCGGGAGGAUGGGCGUCGGUCCGCGCGCGGCUCUCGUUCGAGCGCGACCGUUCGCCCCGCACUCCCGGGGCGUCUCGCCAGGGUAUCGGGCGGUGUCGUCGGUUCGGUCUCGCGACCGGAUCGCGCCCCUCGGUACCCGAGACGCACCUCUAGCGCGCACGCUGGGACCCGAAAGAUGGUGAACUAUGCCUGGUCAGGACGAAGUCAGGGGAAACCCUGAUGGAGGUCCGCAGCGAUUCUGACGUGCAAAUCGAUCGUCAGAACUGGGUAUAGGGGCGAAAGACCAAUCGAACCGUCUAGUAGCUGGUUCCCUCCGAAGUUUCCCUCAGGAUAGCUGGCGCUCGUUAUUUAACAAAUAAAGAGUCUCAUGCGGUAAAGCGAAUGAUUAGAGCGAAUCGGGGUCGAAACGACCUCUACCUAUUCUCAAACUUUAAAUGUGUGAGAUCUCCGGCUUGCCCGAUUGACGAAGCCGCGAGAUCGGAUCUAGAGUGCCAAGUGGGCCAAUUUUGGUAAGCAGAACUGGCGCUGUGGGAUGAACCAAACGUAAAGUUAAAGCGCCGAAAUCGACGCUCAUGGGAAACCAUGAAAGGCGUUGGUAACUCAGGACAGCAGGACGGU